Molecule: ribosomal RNA, 253 nt
Filed under: uncultured bacterium
Lineage: Bacteria
Description: partial 16S ribosomal RNA
Rfam family: Bacterial small subunit ribosomal RNA
Source: RNAcentral
UACGGAGGGGGCGAGCGUUGUCCGGAAUUAUUGGGCGUAAAGAGCUCGUAGGCGGCUUGUCACGUCGAUUGUGAAAGCUCGGGGCUUAACCCCGAGUCUGCAGUCGAUACGGGCUAGCUAGAGUGUGGUAGGGGAGACCGGAAUUCCUGGUGUAGCGGUGAAAUGCGCAGAUAUCAGGAGGAACACCGGUGGCGAAGGCGGAUCUCUGGGCCAUUACUGACGCUGAGGAGCGAAAGCGUGGGGAGCGAACAGG